Molecule: long non-coding RNA, 476 nt
Organism: Cyprinodon tularosa
Lineage: Eukaryota; Metazoa; Chordata; Actinopteri; Cyprinodontiformes; Cyprinodontidae
Exons: 3
Source: RefSeq, a predicted model, not a curated record
GAUAUUACCUAACGGAAUAUCUUCAGAACAGCUCCAAAUGACACAAAACUCAUAUGGCUCUACAUUGUGUGAGAGGACCACUCUGGAGCUGGAGACUUCCACCUCCUUUGGGGUUCCUAGAACAUACAUUUCUGGAGUAGAACUUGGUCUGUAACCUGUGCUGAUGCUGCCUACAGCACCAGGACUCUGAAAGUGCCUUCAGUCAGAGGCUUCUCCAGACCCGAGGAAAGACAGCUAUGAAAGAUCCUUCCUGCCUACAUCAGCACCUUAUAAGAACCCGAUGGAGAAAAAAAAACAAACAAACUAUAAGUUACUGCAAGAUUUCAUUUGUCUUAUUUUUGAAUCUGAAUUGAACUGAAUCUGCUUAUUAUGUUCUGCUUGUUAUGUUAAAUUUAAUACAGCGAGGUAAUGUAAAAGUGAAAACAGUAAGACUAUGCCUAAACUAUAUCAAUCAUCAUAGAAAACAUUCCACUUGA